AGAGUUUGAUCCUGGCUCAGGACGAACGCUGGCGGCGUGCUUAACACAUGCAAGUCGAACGAUGAACCACUUCGGUGGGGAUUAGUGGCGAACGGGUGAGUAACACGUGGGCAAUCUGCCCUGCACUNUGGGACAAGCCCUGGAAACGGGGUCUAAUACCGGAUACAACCACUAGGGGCAUCUCUUGGUGGUGGAAAGCUCCGGCGGUGCAGGAUGAGCCCGCGGCCUAUCAGCUUGUUGGUGAGGUAAUGGCUCACCAAGGCGACGACGGGUAGCCGGCCUGAGAGGGCGACCGGCCACACUGGGACUGAGACACGGCCCAGACUCCUACGGGAGGCAGCAGUGGGGAAUAUUGCACAAUGGGCGAAAGCCUGAUGCAGCGACGCCGCGUGAGGGAUGACGGCCUUCGGGUUGUAAACCUCUUUCAGCAGGGAAGAAGCGAAAGUGACGGUACCUGCAGAAGAAGCGCCGGCUAACUACGUGCCAGCAGCCGCGGUAAUACGUAGGGCGCGAGCGUUGUCCGGAAUUAUUGGGCGUAAAGAGCUCGUAGGCGGCUUGUCACGUCGGUUGUGAAAGCCCGGGGCUUAACCCCGGGUCUGCAGUCGAUACGGGCAGGCUAGAGUUCGGUAGGGGAGAUCGGAAUUCCUGGUGUAGCGGUGAAAUGCGCAGAUAUCAGGAGGAACACCGGUGGCGAAGGCGGNUUNUNGGCCG
RNAcentral lists this ribosomal RNA (711 nucleotides) under Streptomyces africanus. RNAcentral describes it as "bacterial SSU rRNA". It matches the Rfam family "Bacterial small subunit ribosomal RNA", at positions 8 to 736 of the family's 1533-position model. The record is from RNAcentral. Lineage: Bacteria; Bacillati; Actinomycetota; Actinomycetes; Kitasatosporales; Streptomycetaceae.